Molecule: ribosomal RNA, 497 nt
Filed under: uncultured bacterium
Lineage: Bacteria
Description: partial 16S ribosomal RNA
Rfam family: Bacterial small subunit ribosomal RNA
Source: RNAcentral
GACGAACGCUGGCGGCGUGCCUAAUACAUGCAAGUUGAGCGCUGAAGGUUGGUACUUGUACCAACUGGAUGAGCAGCGAACGGGUGAGUAACGCGUGGGGAAUCUGCCUUUGAGCGGGGGACAACAUUUGGAAACGAAUGCUAAUACCGCAUAAAAACUUUAAACACAAGUUUUAAGUUUGAAAGAUGCAAUUGCAUCACUCAAAGAUGAUCCCGCGUUGUAUUAGCUAGUUGGUGAGGUAAAGGCUCACCAAGGCGAUGAUACAUAGCCGACCUGAGAGGGUGAUCGGCCACAGUGGGACUGAGACACGGCCCAAACUCCUACGGGAGGCAGCAGUAGGGAAUCUUCGGCAAUGGACGAAAGGCUGACCGAGCAACGCCGCGUGAGUGAAGAAGGGUUUCGGAUCGUAAAACUCUGUUGGUAGAGAAGAACGUUGGUGAGAGUGGAAAGCUCAUCAAGUGACGGUAACUACCCAGAAAGGGACGGCUAACUACGUG